This 536-nucleotide ribosomal RNA is filed under the name uncultured bacterium. RNAcentral describes it as "bacterial SSU rRNA". It matches the Rfam family "Bacterial small subunit ribosomal RNA", at positions 777 to 1313 of the family's 1533-position model. The record is from RNAcentral.
AAUAGAUACCCCGGUAGUCCACGCCGUAAACGAUGUCGACUUGGAGGUUGUUCCCUUGAGGAGUGGCUUCCGGAGCUAACGCGUUAAGUCGACCGCCGUGGGGAGUACGGCCGCAAGGUUAAAACUCAAAUGAAUUGACGGGGGCCCGCACAAGCGGUGGAGCAUGUGGUUUAAUUCGAUGCAACGCGAAGAACCUUACCUACUCUUGACAUCCAGAGAACUUAGCAGAGAUGCUUUGGUGCCUUCGGGAACUCUGAGACAGGUGCUGCAUGGCUGUCGUCAGCUCGUGUUGUGAAAUGUUGGGUUAAGUCCCGCAACGAGCGCAACCCUUAUCCUUUGUUGCCAGCGGUCCGGCCGGGAACUCAAAGGAGACUGCCAGUGAUAAACUGGAGGAAGGUGGGGAUGACGUCAAGUCAUCAUGGCCCUUACGAGUAGGGCUACACACGUGCUACAAUGGCGCAUACAAAGAGAAGCGACCUGCGAGAGCAAGCGGACCUCAUAAAGUGCGUCGUAGUCCGGAUUGGAGUCUGCUAACG